GUGCGUAACGCGUGGGAACCUGCCCUUAGGUUUGGAAUAACGUUCCGAAAGGAACGCUAAUACCAAAUAAUGUCUUCGGACCAAAGAUUUAUCGCCUUUGGAUGGGCCCGCGUAGGAUUAGCUAGUUGGUGGGGUAAAGGCUCACCAAGGCGACGAUCCUUAGCUGGUCUUAGAGGAUGAUCAGCCACACUGGGACUGAGACACGGCCCAGACUCCUACGGGAGGCAGCAGUGGGGAAUAUUGGACAAUGGGCGAAAGCCUGAUCCAGCAAUGCCGCGUGAGUGAUGAAGGCCUUAGGGUUGUAAAGCUCUUUUACCAGGGAUGAUAAUGACAGUACCUGGAGAAUAAGCUCCGGCUAACUCCGUGCCAGCAGCCGCGGUAAUACGGAGGGAGCUAGCGUUGUUCGGAAAUACUGGGCGUAAAGCGCACGUAGGCGGCUUUUCAAGUCAGGGGUGAAAUCCCGGGGCUCAACCCCGGAACUGCCCUUGAAACUGGAUCGCUAGAAUAUUGGAGAGGCAAGUGGAAUUCCGAGUGUAGAGGUGAAAUUCGUAGAUAUUCGGAAGAACACCAGUGGCGAAGGCGACUUGCU
RNAcentral lists this ribosomal RNA (589 nucleotides) under Erythrobacter westpacificensis. Its description in RNAcentral is "bacterial SSU rRNA". It matches the Rfam family "Bacterial small subunit ribosomal RNA", at positions 106 to 730 of the family's 1533-position model. The record is from RNAcentral. Lineage: Bacteria; Pseudomonadati; Pseudomonadota; Alphaproteobacteria; Sphingomonadales; Erythrobacteraceae.